CGCUGGCGGCGUGCCUAACACAUGCAAGUCAACUUGACUGAAGGAGCAAUCUGACAGUAGAGUGGCGCAAGGGUGCGUAACGCGUAAGUAACUUGCCCCAAGGUAAGGAAUAACGUCGAGAAAUCGGCGCUAAUACCUCAUAAUGCAGCGGAUCCGCAUGGAUAUGUUGUUAAAGGUUUACCGCCUUGGGAUAGGCUUGCGUCUGAUUAGCUAGUUGGUGUGGUAACGGCACACCAAGGCUACGAUCAGUAACUGGUCUGAGAGGAUGAUCAGUCACACUGUAACUGAGACACGGUCCAGACUCCUACGGGAGGCAGCAGUGAGGAAUAUUGGGCAAUGCUCGAAAGAGUGACCCAGCAACGCCGCGUGGAGGAUGAAGGUAUUCUAUAUCGUAAACUCCUGUGAGAGCAGACGAAAGACAGAUUAUUAAUCUGGAUGACUGUAUGCUCAGAGGAAGCCCCGGCUAACUACGUG
RNAcentral lists this ribosomal RNA (474 nucleotides) under uncultured bacterium. RNAcentral describes it as "bacterial SSU rRNA". It matches the Rfam family "Bacterial small subunit ribosomal RNA", at positions 34 to 507 of the family's 1533-position model. The record is from RNAcentral.